Molecule: long non-coding RNA, 485 nt
Organism: Maniola jurtina (meadow brown)
Lineage: Eukaryota; Metazoa; Arthropoda; Insecta; Lepidoptera; Nymphalidae
Exons: 2
Source: RefSeq, a predicted model, not a curated record
GUCUCUUCUGAUAGAUACCCAAAGCUGGGCACAGAGGUCUCUUGAAGGGAUUUCCACCUGUACCUACGAUCUUUAGCCAUUUAUGUCUAGCGGCUCCCUGCGACUUGUUUGACUUCGUCUAUUCAUCUAAUGAGGGAAGUCCGUGGAUGGCUGUUUAUAUCCACUACUACGAAGCCGGAAGUUUACGAAUACAUUCAAUAACACAUAAUAUAAAGAUGAAUGAUUUGUUGAACAGACUUGAAGAAUCCGAAUACGAAUCGUGGUUACUAAAAACCUCACGAAGGUGGUUGCCGAAAAGUGAAAUGCCAUAUCCUGGGUACUGCAGAGCCCCUGGCAGUGGAAAAUGCCUGCCAGUUUUAUGCAACUGCAAGAAAUUGAUUGAAAUAUGGAAGAAAUUAAAAGAAAAAAAUCUAACUUACUUGAGAUCAAACGUUUCUAGUGUAAAAAAUAAAUAAGUGUGAGAUAAAAUAAUUAUCUAUUUUAUU